Molecule: ribosomal RNA, 508 nt
Filed under: uncultured bacterium
Lineage: Bacteria
Description: partial 16S ribosomal RNA
Rfam family: Bacterial small subunit ribosomal RNA
Source: RNAcentral
GAUGAACGCUAGCUACAGGCUUAACACAUGCAAGUCGGGGGGAAACGAUAGAGAAAGCUUGCUUUCUCUAGGCGUCGACCGGCGCACGGGUGAGUAACGCGUAUCCAACCUGCCCAUCACUUGGGGAUAACCUCGCGAAAGUAAGACUAAUACCCAAUGAUAUCUCUAGAAGACAUCUGAAGGAGAUUAAAGAUUUAUCGGUGAUGUAUGGGGAUGGGUCUGAUUAGCUUGUUGGCGGGGUAACGGCCCACCAAGGCGACGAUCAGUAGGGGUUCUGAGAGGAAGGUCCCCCACAUUGGAACUGAGACACGGUCCAAACUCCUACGGGAGGCAGCAGUGAGGAAUAUUGGUCAAUGGGCGAGAGCCUGAACCAGCCAAGUAGCGUGCAGGAUGACGGCCCUAUGGGUUGUAAACUGCUUUUAUAAGGGAAUAAAGUGAGCCUCGUGAGGCUUUUUGCAUGUACCUUAUGAAUAAGGACCGGCUAAUUCCGUGCCAGCCGCCGCCGUAA